CACCCACCUACAAACAACAGUACAUGCAAACAUUACACAACUAUAAACAAUCAACUAUCUGUCAAGUGAGACUAUGUACAUGGAUAUCUCUGUGGCAACCGAGGAAAACCCAUUAGAUAUCGCUGUGUGGAAUUCUGGCUAACAAAGUCAUCCCUUCCACUAAAGGCCGGUCCAGUUGCACCUAUAUCAAGAGAAUAAGUGAGAAUGCCAUUCUGAACGAUGGUAGCAACUUUAUUCACCAAAAUCUCAACUCUCUUCAUCAAGCCAUUUGGAUCACGCUGCACGGAGAUAAAACAGUCGACUCCCGCAUGAGAGAAGUGUGUCAUUAUUACAGG
Long non-coding RNA from Hemibagrus wyckioides, 335 nucleotides. RefSeq lists it as uncharacterized. NCBI's taxonomy places the organism in Eukaryota, Metazoa, Chordata, Actinopteri, Siluriformes, Bagridae. The record is from RefSeq and is a predicted model, not a curated record. The transcript is spliced from 3 exons.